UGGGUGGAUUAGCCAGUCUGUGGCAGACC
Molecule: non-coding RNA, 29 nt
Filed under: Mus musculus (house mouse)
Lineage: Eukaryota; Metazoa; Chordata; Mammalia; Rodentia; Muridae
Source: RNAcentral